GGAGAAAUGGCUGAGUGGUCGAAAGCGGUAGAUUGCUAAUCUAUUGUACAUGUUUUUGUACCGAGGGUUCGAAUCCCUCUUUCUCUU
RNAcentral lists this transfer RNA (87 nucleotides) under Vacuolaria virescens. RNAcentral's name for it is "tRNA-Ser". It matches the Rfam family "tRNA". Rfam says of the family: Transfer RNA (tRNA) molecules are approximately 80 nucleotides in length. Their secondary structure includes four short double-helical elements and three loops (D, anti-codon, and T loops). Lineage: Eukaryota; Raphidophyceae; Chattonellales; Vacuolariaceae. The record is from RNAcentral.